Long non-coding RNA from Wasmannia auropunctata (little fire ant), 609 nucleotides. RefSeq lists it as uncharacterized. The record is from RefSeq and is a predicted model, not a curated record. The transcript is spliced from 2 exons. Lineage: Eukaryota; Metazoa; Arthropoda; Insecta; Hymenoptera; Formicidae.
AUUCCCUGAAGCUACGUACUAGAGCAACUAAUGUCAUUCAACUUGCCCUUUUUACGAAUAACGAAAUAAAAAGGAGCGUUUCCCUUUUCGCUAACUCUCCCGAGGGUGGACUUCUGUCCCGAAUUCCUGGGGGAAUAUAUUCUUUGCACCGUGAUGUACAAGUUCCCGGGGACGUCGUGUAUCAUGUCGCGAAACAUCGCGUCAAAGAAAGGGCAGGAAAUAGCGGACGGGCGGCCUCGGACGCGAGCUCUCGUGUCGUUUAUCGAUACGUUGCUCUUGACGAAAUAUCGGCGCGAUGUAGCGGAGAGAAGUUUCUGAAAAGCACUUCGGCCCCGGCGAGGGAAAGUUUCGACCAACCAUCUACGAGUGUUCCUUCCGCCGUGAACGACAACGGCCAAAGUUUGCUUAUGAAUAAAUUUCGUCGCAUCAUCGCGUUUACCCGCCGUUUAUUACUUUCCCGCUGUCGCUCGAGUUCCAGGCCUUGCAGCCGCGUCCGCGAAAACGUGCUUCUCACGAGGAUUUUAUAUAAAAAAAAGAGAGAGAGAGACGUCCCUUUUCUUUGUGAUGUACUUUAACCUUUAAUUAAAUCUCGAUUUAAUUAAGAAAAAA